GUGCCAGCCGCCGCGGUAAGACGAGGGGUCCAAGCGUUGCUCGGAAUUAUUGGGCGUAAAGCGGAUGUAGGUGGUUUUGUAAGUCAGAAGUGAAAUCCCUGGGCUUAACCCAGGACGUGCUUUUGAUACUGCUUAACUUGAGUGUGGGAGAGGACAGUAGAAUUCCAGGUGUAGUGGUGAAAUACGUAGAUAUCUGGAGGAAUACCGGUGAGGAAGCUGGCUGUCUGGCCCAACACUGACACUGAGAUCCGAAAGCGUGGGGAUCAAACAGGAUUAGAUACCCUGGUAGUCCACGCCGUAAACGAUGGACACUUGGUGUUGGAGGUAUUGACCCCUUCAGUGCCGAAGCUAACGCGUUAAGUGUCCCGCCUGGGGAGUACGGUCGCAAGAUUAAA
Molecule: ribosomal RNA, 395 nt
Filed under: uncultured bacterium
Lineage: Bacteria
Description: bacterial SSU rRNA
Rfam family: Bacterial small subunit ribosomal RNA
Source: RNAcentral